UACAGAGGUCCCAAGCGUUGUUCGGAUUCACUGGGCGUAAAGGGUGCGUAGGCGGUCGUGCAAGUCGGAUGUGAAAUCUCAGGGCUCAACCCUGAAACUGCAUUCGAUACUGCGCGGCUAGAGUGCUGGAGGGGAGACUGGAAUUUACGGUGUAGCAGUGAAAUGCGUAGAUAUCGUAAGGAAGACCAGUGGCGAAGGCGAGUCUCUGGGCAGCAACUGACGCUGAGGCACGAAGGCCAGGGGAGCAAACGGG
RNAcentral lists this ribosomal RNA (253 nucleotides) under uncultured bacterium. RNAcentral's name for it is "partial 16S ribosomal RNA". It matches the Rfam family "Bacterial small subunit ribosomal RNA", at positions 524 to 776 of the family's 1533-position model. The record is from RNAcentral.